Non-coding RNA from Pantherophis guttatus, 438 nucleotides. Lineage: Eukaryota; Metazoa; Chordata; Lepidosauria; Squamata; Colubridae. The record is from RefSeq and is a predicted model, not a curated record.
UGAUUAGGGCCAAGCAUAUUUUCCAUACUAAGGAAGAGCUUAGGGUGUGACAAGAAAAUCACCAGUUUAUUCACUCUGACAGGCACCACUACCAAGAAUUCCCUGCAAGAUCAGCAGCCUGCUGUGUUAUGAUCAUAGGACAUCUUCACCACCACAUAAAUAGCAGAAACAGAUGAAUGCCACUCUACAUUCUGGCCACCAAUCACCAGUUGAAGUUCCCCAGUCUUUCUGCAGUAUGAAUGAGUUUUGAAGAUGGGGAAUGACUCAUCACUUUUAACUGAUAAACCACUUGUUAGCAUAAAAUCAAACUUCUUUUGUUUUUGCAGUUUACCAUAUUUUUAUUAGACAUUUUAGAAGAAAUAUAUAAGCAGGGAAGGAAAAGGACAAAAGAAAGGAUAAAGGACCAGAAUGCAGAUGAAUAAACAAUGCAUUUACAAA